AAUCAACGCUGGCGGCGUGCCUAACACAUGCAAGUCGAACGCGAAAGGGGAGCAAUCCCUGAGUAGAGUGGCAAACGGGUGAGUAACACGUGGGUGACCUGCCUUCGAGUGGGGGAUAACGUCCCGAAAGGGACGCUAAUACCGCAUGACAUCCUGCCCUUGGAAGGGCGGAGAUCAAAGCCGGGGAUCGCAAGACCUGGCGCUUGAAGAGGGGCCCGCGCCUGAUUAGCUAGNGGUAGGGUAACGGCUUACCAAGGCCACGAUCAGUAUCCGGCCUGAGAGGGCGGACGGACACACUGGGACUGAGACACGGCCCAGACUCCUACGGGAGGCAGCAGUGGGGAAUCUUGCGCAAUGGGCGAAAGCCUGACGCAGCGACGCCGCGU
RNAcentral lists this ribosomal RNA (386 nucleotides) under uncultured bacterium. RNAcentral's name for it is "bacterial SSU rRNA". It matches the Rfam family "Bacterial small subunit ribosomal RNA", at positions 29 to 402 of the family's 1533-position model. The record is from RNAcentral.